Molecule: long non-coding RNA, 1255 nt
Organism: Rhineura floridana
Lineage: Eukaryota; Metazoa; Chordata; Lepidosauria; Squamata; Rhineuridae
Exons: 3
Source: RefSeq, a predicted model, not a curated record
ACCUGAGCAACAGAGAAUGAAAUCAGAAGGCUCUGCUACAUUUACGACCCAAGAAAGGAAAAUAUAUGUCAUGAAGAAUGAAGGUGAAGAUUGCAAGGAGUGUUCACAGAACUGCCCCAAGACAGAUUUCCUGUGGUUUCUGUUUAAUUUUACAGCUCAGAGACAGAAUGGGAAUGAAGCAUGAUAGAAAAUCUGCUACUAUGAUUUUUUUUCUCCAUUCAUGCUCUUGAUACUUUUAAUUAAUAAAGGACAGAUACUGCCUUGAAUUUGGGCAUGACUCACUCAAAAUCCAUUGGACUUUUUUCAGUUACUGUAUUGAACUGAGGGCUCCUAAAUGCUACCGUGCACUACAGCAUAACUAGACAGUCCUGGGUUGAUAAAUAUUGAAAGAUGGCAACAUUUCUGUUCCAUGUCUGUGAUUAAUAACACUCCAUAUGUAUAAUUACAUAUGAAUUCUUGGAAUGUGGCAUAUAUUCUGCAAAACAUAACACUUGGAAAUCAGUUGGGUUCACACACAUAUUUCCAUGCUUUCGCUGCAAAAGUUUUGAAGAUAUAUAGAAUAUAGAGCCAUAAUCAACCUUGUGAUUAUGAAGCAGAAGCCACUACGGUCAGCUACAUUUGCCAUAUUUGCUGAAAUCCAUAUGGUCAGGUGAACCUUUUCAUUGGUGGCUUUGCUCUGUGGAAUGACCUUUCCACUGAAUGUUAUAUUCUUUUAGACACCAGGAAAAAACCUACCUUUUGUUCGGUUAGGCUUUUAGUGGCUGAUGGGUUAAGUCAUUUUGAUGAUACUGUUAAUUAUGUAAUUGAUGGGAAGUAUUUUAAUGUUCCUGUUUGUAUGUACUGCAGUAACCAACAGUGUAUGAACUAAGUGAUUACUAGAAGCCAACAUAGAUUUGUCAAGAACUGAUUUAAAGCAUAACUCUAACUAAUAUGACUUGCUUAUGUGUUUGGGGGAAACGUAGGGAAUCCCACAAAGUAAACUCAUUGCCAUCCACCCGCUCUCUCCAUGCUGUCUUCCCCUUACCUCAUCUGCUGUCAAAGUAAGGAAGUGGGAUUAGGUGAGGCUGGGCAAACAGCAACAUUUCCCUUCCCUGAGCGGCUGAUAGCUGUGCUGCUCUAGACACUGUUGAGUGACACAUCUGGACCUAAUUUAAUGUGGUUUCUGGCUUCCUUUUUGAAACUGAAACCAUCUUGCUCACCUUUAUGUGUGUUGGGAGGUCACUGUGAAAAAGUGCCAUAUAAAUGAAUGUAAAUG